This 429-nucleotide ribosomal RNA is filed under the name uncultured bacterium. RNAcentral describes it as "bacterial SSU rRNA". It matches the Rfam family "Bacterial small subunit ribosomal RNA", at positions 355 to 775 of the family's 1533-position model. The record is from RNAcentral.
UGGGGAAUCUUGCGCAAUGGCCGAGAGGCUGACGCAGCGACGCCGCGUGCGGGAGGAAGGUCUUCGGAUCGUAAACCGCUGUCGGGAGGGAAGAAAUCCCUAAGGAGGCAAUGCCUUGGGGCUGACGGUACCUUCAAAGGAAGCACCGGCUAACUCCGUGCCAGCAGCCGCGGUAAUACGGAGGGUGCGAGCGUUGUUCGGAAUUAUUGGGCGUAAAGCGCGCGCAGGCGGCGCGGUAAGUCCAGGGGUGAAAUGCCGGGGCUCAACCCCGAGCGUGCCCCGGAUACUGCCGAGCUGGAGGCAGGUAGAGGCUGGCGGAAUUCCGGGUGUAGCGGUGGAAUGCGUAGAGAUCCGGAAGAACACCAGAGGCGAAGGCGGCCAGCUGGGCCUGACCUGACGCUGAGGCGCGAAGGCGUGGGGAGCGAACAG